Prunus dulcis (almond) is the source of this 1759-nucleotide RNA transcript. It is a transcript of the gene named probable methyltransferase PMT4, with no coding region annotated. NCBI's taxonomy places the organism in Eukaryota, Viridiplantae, Streptophyta, Magnoliopsida, Rosales, Rosaceae. The transcript is spliced from 8 exons. The record is from RefSeq and is a predicted model, not a curated record.
GCUAGUCAACAAAGGGAGCUUGGCCUUUGUGGCAGAGAAAGAAAAUUAUGUGCCUUGUUACAAUGUUUCAGCAAACCUUUUUGUGGGGUUUAAAGAUAGGGAGGAGUUUGAUUGGCAUUGUGAAGUAUCAAGAAACAGAGAACGGUGUCUGGUUCGCCCUCCUAAGGACUAUAAGAUUCCCCGGAGGUGGCCAGCUGGUAGGGAUGUGAUAUGGAGUGGAAACGUGAAGAUAACCAAAGACCAAUUUCUUUCGUCUGGGAGCAUGACCAAAAGGUUGAUGUUACUAGAAGAAAAUCAAAUUGCCUUUCACUCUGAGGAUGGUUUGAUUUUUUAUGUUGUCGAGGAUUAUUCUCUUCAAAUUGCGAAGAUGCUAGGUUUAAAUGAUGAUUCUCAAUUUCUUCAAGCCGGUGUGCAGACUGUACUAGAUAUUGGUUGCGGUUUUGGUGGCUUUGGAGCUCAUUUAGUAUCACUAAAUGUAAUGGCUAUUUGUAUCGCGGCAUAUGAGGCAACUGGCAGUCAAGUUCAAUUGACCCUUGAGAGAGGUCUUCCAGCAAUGAUUGGCAAUUUCAUUACAAGACAGCUUCCAUUUCCAACGUUGUCCUUUUUGAAAUGGUUCAUUGCUCAAUGUGGUAUUGUUUGGGACAAAAAAGAUUGGAUGUUGCUUUUAGAAGUUGACCGGGUACUCAAGCCUGGUGGCUACUUUAUUUUGACCUCAUCCACAAGCCAGCCAUAUGGAAGUUCUUUGAGCAUGAAGAAUAGCAUGUUGACUCCAAUGGAGGAAUUGACCCUGAAAAUCUGUUGGACUUUAAAAGCUCAGCAAUAUGAAACUUUAAUAUGGCAGAAAACUGUGGUUUCUGAUUGCUAUACAUCUCGCAAGCAGGGUGCUAUACCACUUUGUAAUGAAGGGCAUGAUGUUCGGUCAUAUUAUAAGCCCCUCGUAUCAUGUAUAAGUGGGACCACCAACAAACGCUGGACUCCAAUCCGAAAUAGGUCCUCGAGUCCCCAUCAAUUGAACUCAGCUGAGCUUGAAAUUGAUGGAGUUCAGCCUGACUAUUUCUUUGAGGACUUACAGAUUUGGAGAUCAGCUCUGAAAAACUAUUGGUCUUUGCUUUCACCCUUGAUUUUCUCUGACCAUCCAAAGAGACUGGGUGAUGAAGACCCAUUAUCUCCAUUAAACAUGAUACACAAUGUGAUGGAUAUGAGUGCUCACUAUGGGUUAAAUGCAGCUUUUCUGGAGGAAAGAAAAUCAGUUUGGGUGAUGAAUGUUGUGCCUGUCAAUGCUCCCUAUCCACUUCCUCUCAUACCAGAUCGAGGUUUUGCUGGUGUUUUGCAUGACUGGUGUGAACCGUUCCCUACAUAUCCUGGAACCUAUGAUUUGCUGCAUGCGAAUGGGCUGCUCUCACAUCUGUCUUCAGAUAGGUGCGGCAUGAUGGAUUUAUUCUUGGGGAUGGAUCGGAUUCUGCAACCUGAGGGAUGGGUUUUCUCUGUGAUAAAGUGGGAGUUAUUGAGAUGGCAUGUGUGUUUGCUACACAAAUGCGUUGGGAAGCAAGGGUGAUCGACCUUCAGAAUGGCAGUGACCAAGGACUGCUUGUUUGCCCAAAACCAUUCGUGAAAAAACGAUUGUUUUACUUCAGGAGGUUUUAUCAUUGCGGAAGUGUACAAUUGUUUUUCCUCUAUUUGCUUUGGUAAUUUCUCUAAUCUUUCUAGAAUUCAAAUUCGGAUUAUGUAGAUGUAGUGCAUUGACCCGUUUGCGUUUUUA